This 399-nucleotide ribosomal RNA is filed under the name uncultured bacterium. Its description in RNAcentral is "bacterial SSU rRNA". It matches the Rfam family "Bacterial small subunit ribosomal RNA", at positions 29 to 430 of the family's 1533-position model. The record is from RNAcentral.
AUUAAACGCUGGCGGCAUGCCUUACACAUGCAAGUCGAACGGUAGCGCGGGGCAACCUGGCGACGAGUGGCGAACGGGUGAGUAAAGCAUCGGAACGUGCCCUGGAAUGGGGGAUAACGUAGCGAAAGUUACGCUAAUACCGCAUAUUCUGUGAGCAGGAAAGCAGGGGAUCGCAAGACCUUGCGUUCUGGGAGCGGCCGAUGUCGGAUUAGCUAGUUGGUGGGGUAAAAGCCUACCAAGGCGACGAUCCGUAGCGGGUCUGAGAGGAUGAUCCGCCACACUGGGACUGAGACACGGCCCAGACUCCUACGGGAGGCAGCAGUGGGGAAUUUUGGACAAUGGGCGGAAGCCUGAUCCAGCCAUGCCGCGUGAGUGAAGAAGGCCUUCGGGUUGGUUAAA